Molecule: ribosomal RNA, 750 nt
Filed under: uncultured Staphylococcus sp.
Lineage: Bacteria; Bacillati; Bacillota; Bacilli; Caryophanales; Staphylococcaceae
Description: bacterial SSU rRNA
Rfam family: Bacterial small subunit ribosomal RNA
Source: RNAcentral
GCUGGCGGCGUGCCUAAUACAUGCAAGUCGAGCGAACGGACGAGAAGCUUGCUUCUCUGAUGUUAGCGGCGGACGGGUGAGUAACACGUGGAUAACCUACCUAUAAGACUGGGAUAACUUCGGGAAACCGGAGCUAAUACCGGAUAAUAUUUUGAACCGCAUGGUUCAAAAGUGAAAGACGGUCUUGCUGUCACUUAUAGAUGGAUCCGCGCUGCAUUAGCUAGUUGGUAAGGUAACGGCUUACCAAGGCAACGAUGCAUAGCCGACCUGAGAGGGUGAUCGGCCACACUGGAACUGAGACACGGUCCAGACUCCUACGGGAGGCAGCAGUAGGGAAUCUUCCGCAAUGGGCGAAAGCCUGACGGAGCAACGCCGCGUGAGUGAUGAAGGUCUUCGGAUCGUAAAACUCUGUUAUUAGGGAAGAACAUAUGUGUAAGUAACUGUGCACAUCUUGACGGUACCUAAUCAGAAAGCCACGGCUAACUACGUGCCAGCAGCCGCGGUAAUACGUAGGUGGCAAGCGUUAUCCGGAAUUAUUGGGCGUAAAGCGCGCGUAGGCGGUUUUUUAAGUCUGAUGUGAAAGCCCACGGCUCAACCGUGGAGGGUCAUUGGAAACUGGAAAACUUGAGUGCAGAAGAGGAAAGUGGAAUUCCAUGUGUAGCGGUGAAAUGCGCAGAGAUAUGGAGGAACACCAGUGGCGAAGGCGACUUUCUGGUCUGUAACUGACGCUGAUGUGCGAAAGCGUGGGGA